GCUGGAGUGGUGGAAUUGGCAGACACGCACGGUUCAGGGCCGUGUGCCGCAAGGCAUGAGGGUUCAAGUCCCUCCUCCAGCA
This is a transfer RNA of 82 nucleotides. It matches the Rfam family "tRNA". Rfam says of the family: Transfer RNA (tRNA) molecules are approximately 80 nucleotides in length. Their secondary structure includes four short double-helical elements and three loops (D, anti-codon, and T loops).